UAAGAGUCAAGAACAUUAUUUAGAUGAUGCUGUAGAGAUGAACUCUUCUCUGGGCUUAGUGGCUGUGGUGCUCUUAGUGCUUGGACAAAUCCAUGGAGACUCGGUGACCCAGACAAAAGGCCAAGUGACCCUCUCAGAAGGGGCUCCCCUGACUGUGAAUUGCUCCUAUGAAACCACACAGUACCCUGCUCUUUUCUGGUAUGCUCAGUAUCCCGGAGAAGGUCCACAGCUCCUCCUGAAAGCCACAAGGGUCAACGAGAACGGAAGCAGCAAAGGAUUUGUAGCCACAUACCAAAAACAACCAAAUGCCUUCCACUUGGAGAAAGCCUCAGUCCACCAGUCAGAUUCUGCAAUGUACUACUGUGCACUGGGUGGCACAGUGACAGACACUGCAGGGGGAGCUGAGCACAAACUCUAA
Non-coding RNA from Myotis daubentonii (Daubenton's bat), 418 nucleotides. The record is from the annotation of a RefSeq genome assembly. Lineage: Eukaryota; Metazoa; Chordata; Mammalia; Chiroptera; Vespertilionidae.